Long non-coding RNA from Carica papaya (papaya), 479 nucleotides. RefSeq lists it as uncharacterized. The record is from RefSeq and is a predicted model, not a curated record. NCBI's taxonomy places the organism in Eukaryota, Viridiplantae, Streptophyta, Magnoliopsida, Brassicales, Caricaceae.
GCAGCUAAACUAUCAGACCAGGGAAGCUUAAUUUAACACAAUCUCCUUCUUUCCUAUCCCAAGCUUAAUUAGUCUGCAAUUUCGAGAAGAAUGGCAUCGUUAAAAGCUGAGAAGCCUGUUGCCAAAGCAACACCUAAAGCUCCAGCCUCCAAACCGGCGCCUAAGAAGGCUGAGCAGAAGCCCAGGGAACCUAAGAAAAAGGCAUCCGGAGGUGGGAAGCCGUCGGCAGCAGCCAAGAAUAUCUAAAAUGGAGGAGAAUGGACGACAAGAACUUUGGUAUAACAUGUUAAUUAAGAUGAUGCAAUCACUUCAUGAAACUAAUUAAUUAAAAUUAUGUAUUUAUAAUUAGUUUCUGGAGAGCUUGCUUAGUGUUAAUUACAUUGUUAUGGAAGCUCUUGUUCCCCAUGUACUACCAUCCCAUGUUUCUACCUUUUUAAGCUUUCCGCAUUAAAUAAAUAAAUAACGUAUAUUUUACAUAU